UAUAAGUGUAGUUUUGCACUGUUCAUUUCCAACAUUUGACCGUUCAUCUUAUUUAAUUUUUUUUAUGAUUAGUAUUUUUAUUGUUAUUAGAUGACAAAACAUUAAUAGGACUUUAUGUGUGACUAAUUUUUUUAAAAUUUUUAAAUAAGACAGACGGUCUAACGUCGGACACGGAUACCCACGACUGCACUUAUU
Non-coding RNA from Oryza glaberrima (African rice), 195 nucleotides. NCBI's taxonomy places the organism in Eukaryota, Viridiplantae, Streptophyta, Magnoliopsida, Poales, Poaceae. The record is from Rfam.